This 881-nucleotide ribosomal RNA is filed under the name Ericboehmia curtisii. RNAcentral's name for it is "LSU rRNA". It matches the Rfam family "Eukaryotic large subunit ribosomal RNA", at positions 36 to 935 of the family's 3401-position model. Lineage: Eukaryota; Fungi; Ascomycota; Dothideomycetes; Hysteriales; Hysteriaceae. The record is from RNAcentral.
UAGCAUAUCAAUAAGCGGAGGAAAAGAAACCAACAGGGAUUGCCCCAGUAACGGCGAGUGAAGCGGCAACAGCUCAAAUUUGAAAUCUGGCCCCCUCGGGGUCCGAGUUGUAAUUUGCAGAGGACGCUUCGGCGUUGGCCCCGGUCUAAGUCCCUUGGAACAGGGCGUCACAGAGGGUGAGAAUCCCGUACGUGGCCGGUGGCCCUCGCCAUGUGAAGCUCCUUCGACGAGUCGAGUUGUUUGGGAAUGCAGCUCUAAAUGGGAGGUAAAUUUCUUCUAAAGCUAAAUACCGGCCAGAGACCGAUAGCGCACAAGUAGAGUGAUCGAAAGAUGAAAAGCACUUUGGAAAGAGAGUCAAAAAGUACGUGAAAUUGUUGAAAGGGAAGCGCUCGCAACCAGACCCGCCCGCGGUCGCUCAUCCAGGCUCCCGCCUGGUGCACUCUUCCGCGGUCGGGCCAGCAUCGGUUUGGGCGGUCGGACAAAGGCGGUGGGAAUGUGGCUCCCCUCGGGGAGUGUUAUAGCCCGCCGCGCAAUGCGGCCAGCCCGGACCGAGGUCCGCGCUCCGGCUAGGAUGCUGGCUUAAUGGUUGUGAGCGGCCCGUCUUGAAACACGGACCAAGGAGUGUAACAUCUGUGCGAGUGUUUGGGUGUCAAGCCCGGGCGCGCAAUGAAAGUGAACGGAGGCGGGAACCCUCCGGGGCGCACCGUCGACCGAUCCUGAUGUCUUCGGAUGGAUUUGAGUAAGAGCACAGCUGUUGCGACCCGAAAGAUGGUGAUCUAUGCCUGAAUAGGGUGAAGCCAGAGGAAACUCUGGUGGAGGCUCGCAGCGGUUCUGACGUGCAAAUCGAUCGUCAAAUUUGGGCAUAGGGGCGAAAGACUAAU